GUGAUGUUGCUCUGAGUGCAUAUCCACACCGGGCGAGCUUGAAAAAUAUGCCCGGCCACGGUGGGAUUCGAACCUACGACCUUUGGAAUACUAGCCCAAUGCUCUUCCAACUGAGCUACGCGGUCAGGACGGUUCGAGUAAGUGAUAUUUCGGAACAGUAUCUAGUUUCUUCAAUACCAAUGUGUUCUUGUAAUAUGAAUUUUUUUUUUUUUUCUUUUUUCUUUUUUUUCUGGGCUGGUGUUGUGUACUCAGGUAAAUAAUAUGUUUGUGAUGUUACUCUGAGUGCAUAUCCACACCGGGCGAGCUUGAAAAAUAUGCCCGGCCACGGUGGGAUUCGAACCUACGACCUUUGGAAUACUAGCCCAAUGCUCUUCCAACUGAGCUACGCGGUCAGGACGGUUCGAGUAAGUGAUAUUUCGGAACAGUAUCUAGUUUCUUCAAUACCAAUGUGUUCUUGCAAUAUGAAUUUUUUUUUUCUUUUUUAUUUUUUUUCUGGGCUGGUGUUGUGUACACAGGUGAAUAAUAUGUUUGUGAUGUUACUCAGAGUAACAUCACAAACAUAAGUCUGAUAAUAUCAACAAGGUUGUUACAACUGUUAACAAGUUAAGUUGUUCCAAGGCCUAACAGAAAUUAUCUUGUGGCUUCUCUACCGACCGUAUGAUGGUUUGUUGGUGUGUUUGGGUUGUUUUUGCUUUGCUAUAAUCGACCCUUUUAUUUCCGUUGCUCGCUUUGUGGCAUACCUGUUGGGUACAGUUAUUGCUUCUUGAAAAGUUUAUGUGUUAUGGCAAUAUGCCAACUGAUCACACUCAUUGCCAUUGUUGAUCAUGAAACCGGAACCAGAAGAUAUUUUUGUUGGGUUUUAUACGGUCUGGUAUUUUUGUACGGUCUGGUAUUAGGAACCUUAAGCAAACAGGACGGCAACGUGACGACGAUGGCUAUUCACACAAUGAUAUUCCUGAUCUCGUACAAAAGAAAUGAAUAAUUAAAAGCCCCGCGGGAGUUAGAGACGUUGUGUUAGGGCUUUUUACAACGGCAAACCAGAGAUUUUCACGUCUUGUGUACAACACAAACAUCCAGGUGAUCUCGUGUUCGUACUUUAGCCAAUCAGCGCUCAGAAAGGGUUGUCCGAAUAGAAAUCCAUUUUGAUGUAUUCAGUCAAUUAUAUCUUUCGUUAUUCUUUAUGAAACUAGUUGAAAUUUUGUAAUUAUGUCUGGUUAUGAGAACUCUAGUUCUGACAAAAAUAUGGAAUCGAAAUAAAGUAUAUUACAGGAGAUAUUCAGUUGUUUUAAUCAUAAAAUGGAUUUCUAUUUGACAACUAGUGCCAGUACUUUUCCGCGUAUCAAGAUCAUCUGGAUGUCAAGACGCGACAAGUGAAACUACAUAUUUGCUCAGCAGAAGCGUUUUUAACCGUAAAGCAUUUGUUUUAAUCUCUUCAAACUGAACUUAAUUCUUACAUACAUGCAGUGGAUAAUACACAACAACUCUUCUUCGCAAUAAUGGCCAACUUGCAUGUUAGACCAAAUUUUAAUCUAAGCAGAGAAAAGGGAAUCAAACACCACAGCUAAAAGGAACAUACUGAAAUUAGUAAAAGUGGAAAAUUUGGCUGCGAAAUGUUGUAAAGCUUGGAAAAUAUAACUUUGCAAAGUUUGCAUAUUUUCAGUAUAUUUGUAUUACGAGCGGAAAUUGUUACCAUUUUCGGCUCAAAAAUGGUAACAAU
Non-coding RNA from Paramuricea clavata, 1717 nucleotides. NCBI's taxonomy places the organism in Eukaryota, Metazoa, Cnidaria, Anthozoa, Malacalcyonacea, Plexauridae. The record is from the annotation of a GenBank genome assembly.